This 317-nucleotide ribosomal RNA is filed under the name uncultured Bacteroidales bacterium. RNAcentral describes it as "bacterial SSU rRNA". It matches the Rfam family "Bacterial small subunit ribosomal RNA", at positions 28 to 339 of the family's 1533-position model. Lineage: Bacteria; Pseudomonadati; Bacteroidota; Bacteroidia; Bacteroidales. The record is from RNAcentral.
GAUGAACGCUAGCGACAGGCUUAACACAUGCAAGUCGAGGGGCAGCGCGGUGGUAGCAAUACCACUGGCGGCGACCGGCGCACUGGUGAGUAACACGUAUGCGACCUGCCCCGGACAGGGGGAUAAACCCGGGAAACUGGGUCUAAUACCCCAUAUGCCCUGAGGACGCAUGUCCUUAGGGUGAAAGAUCCGUCGGUCCGGGAUGGGCAUGCGUCCGAUUAGCUUGCCGGCGGGGUAACGGCCCACCGGGGCAUCGAUCGGUAGGGGUUCUGAGAGGAAGGUCCCCCACACUGGUACUGAGACACGGACCAGACUCC